ACCAGGAUGGCCGAAUGGUUAAGGCGUUGGACUUAAGAUCCAAUGUCUGUGUGGGUUCGAACCCCACUCCUGGUA
Trichomycterus rosablanca is the source of this 75-nucleotide non-coding RNA. Lineage: Eukaryota; Metazoa; Chordata; Actinopteri; Siluriformes; Trichomycteridae. The record is from the annotation of a RefSeq genome assembly.